Camelina sativa (false flax) is the source of this 1252-nucleotide non-coding RNA. NCBI's taxonomy places the organism in Eukaryota, Viridiplantae, Streptophyta, Magnoliopsida, Brassicales, Brassicaceae. The record is from RefSeq and is a predicted model, not a curated record.
ACUCUACCAAAUAUGAUAUAACCGCAUCGCACCCGAAUCGGACUUCCAUUCACAAUUUUACCUAAUCGCAUCGCUCCCAAAUCACAUCGCACCCGCACUUGAAUCGUAAUUGCACGCGAAACGGACUACCAUUCGAGGCCUUCUUCGAUGGUUAGCCUACGCUCCGCAAAAUUCACUUCGGCUUCGGAAAUGGUCAUCGACGUUGAAACGGAGAAAGAUGCCUCUGCUGAUUCACCCACUUCUGUUCUCAACGAGGAGGUUCAUCCAUCUCAAUGUAGCUACUUGGCACACGAACUCAUUGUUUGGUAUCAGGGACAAGAAGCUCCAAUGCUGCUUCCUUUCUCAUAUGCUGUGGUCUCGGGUGCUAUAGGAUCAUGUUCAGUUUUAUUUGCCAAGUCACUGUGAGAUGCUCUGUGACCUUAAUUUAUUUCUUUCAUUGUCACAUCGGCUUAAUCUAUUUUGUCACAUAGCCUUUGGAGCAAUAUUCUCUGCUACAGACUCUGUUUGCACCUUGCAAAUGCUUAAUCAAGACGACACACCUCUCUUGUCCAGUCUGGUCUUUGGAGAAGGUGUAGUGAACGAUGCAAUGUCUGUUGUGCUCUUCAACGUAAUACAGAGAUUUGAUCUCACAAACAUCAAUUCAACCAUAGCUUUGGAGUUUGCUGGAAACUUAUUUUAUCUCUUCAUCUUAAUUAAGCACAUCACUUGGUGUUGCAGUAUGCUUCUUUCGCUCUUCUCCUCAAACUUCAGCACUAGAAUUUGGAGUUAACCAGAAUAGUUCUUACUCAUUUUCUUUCUCUGGCUGGAUUGCUCAGUGCUUUCAUUAUGAAGAAUCUCUAUAUUGGAAGGCACUCUACUAAUCGUGAAGUUGUAAUAUUUAUGCUAUAGUAUGCAUCUGCAUAAAUGUUCAUGGCCUGAAUAUAUACUUUUGGUUAUCAUUCAUCCCUGCCAUUCUUGUCAUCUUGGUUGGAACCAAACUAGAGCACGUUGUCUCGAAGCUUGCUCUCGAGGUUAAGGAGCGCAGACAUGCACAACUAAUGGGGUUCAAGUCAAACCACGUGACAGACUCUUCUGGUUUGGGAAACUAUCUUUUUGAAUGUAUUUAUAUAUCUUCUAUUUGUAAGUGGUUUUUAACUCUCUGUUUGAGAGUUUAAAACUCUAUCUUGUUUGAGUGUAUGAUAUUAAACUAAGUUUAACAUUAAUUGUAAUUGUGUAUGUUUUGCAAUUUAAUUUUUAACAUAUUUUCACAUAA